CAAAAAGGUCCUCAAAAAAGGGUCCCCAAGGGAGCCCCAAAACGCCCCAGGAUUGCCCGAAUUGUCCCUAAAAAUACCCAGCUGGCCCCUGAGUUGCAAAAGUGCGCCCCCCCACACCCCCCAAAAUGUCCCCAAAAUAUUCCUAAAAUGUUCCCGGAAUGGCCCAAAAUGGUCUCGACCCAAAACGGUCCCCAAAAAGUCCCCAAAAGGGAGCCCUGAAACGCCCCAGGGUUCCCUGAAUUGUUCCUAAACAUCCCCAGCUGGCCCCUGAGUUGCAAAAGUGCGCCCCCCCCAAACACCCAAAAUGUCCCCAAAUGUCCUCAAAAUAUCCCUAAAAUGUUCCCAGAAUGGCCCAAAAGGGUCUCGACCCAAAAUAGUCCCCAAAGUGGCCCCAAAAAGUCCCCAAAAGGGAGCCCCGAAACACCCCAGGAUUCCCUGAAUUGUCCCUAAAACUCCCCAGCUGGCCCAAGAGUCCCAAAAGUGGUCCCCCCCAACCCCCAAAAUGUCCCAAAGUGUCCCUGGGGUGUCCCCAAGAUGUCCCUGGGGUGUCCCCAUGUCCCCGAGGUACCCCCAGGUUGUCCCCAAAGUGUCCCCUGGGUGUCCCCAAAGUCCCCCCAGGGUGACCCCAAAGUGUCCCCAGGGUGACCCCAAAUCCCUGAGGUGCCCCCAGGGUGUCCCCAAAGUGUCCCCUGGGUGUCCCUUUGUCCCCGGGGUGACCCCAAAGUGUCCCCAGAGUCCCCCCAGGGUGUCCCCAAGGUGUCCCCAUGUCCCCAAAAAGUGUCCCCUGGGUGUCCCCACCUGCGCCUGCAGCACGGGCACGGUCUCGAGGGCCGCUCGCUGCUGCUCGGCCUCGGCCUUGAGCUUGUCGAUCAGCUCCUGCUUGGCCGCCAGCGCCUCCUCCGCCUGCUGCAGCUGCGCCCGCAGCUCCCCCAGCUGCCGCGACGCCCCCUGGGGGGCCCCAAAAAAUCAGUGAGACCCCAAAAAAUAACCAGGAACCCCAAAAAUAACCAGGAACCCCAAAAAAUAACUGGGGAGACCCAAAACUGGACAGGGAGA
This 1056-nucleotide long non-coding RNA is filed under the name Anas platyrhynchos platyrhynchos (common mallard). RNAcentral describes it as "lncRNA (ENSAPLG00000017770.1)". Lineage: Eukaryota; Metazoa; Chordata; Aves; Anseriformes; Anatidae. The record is from RNAcentral.